RNAcentral lists this ribosomal RNA (1278 nucleotides) under metagenome. RNAcentral describes it as "bacterial LSU rRNA". It matches the Rfam family "Bacterial large subunit ribosomal RNA", at positions 1657 to 2917 of the family's 2925-position model. The record is from RNAcentral.
UCACAGGUGGUCGGGUAGAGAAUACCAAGGCGCUUGAGAAGAACUCGGGUGAAGGAACUAGGCAAAAUGGCACCGUAACUUCGGGAGAAGGUGCGCCGGCUAGGGUGAAGGAUUUACUCCGUAAGCUCUGGCUGGUCGAAGAUACCAGGCCGCUGCGACUGUUUAUUAAAAACACAGCACUCUGCAAACACGAAAGUGGACGUAUAGGUGUGACGCCUCCCCGGUGCCGGAAGGUUAAUUGAUGGGGUUAGCGCAAGCGAAGCUCUUGAUCGAAGCCCCGGUAAACGGCGGCCGUAACCAUAACGGUCCUAAGGUAGCGAAAUUCCUUGUCGGGUAAGUUCCGACCUGCACGAAUGGCGUAACGAUGGCGGUGUUGUUCCACCCGAGACUCAGUGAAAUUGAAAUCGCUGUGAAGAUGCAGUGUAUCCGCGGCUAGACGGAAAGACCCCGUGAACCUUUACCGUAGCUUUGCACUGGACUUUGAGCCUGCUUGUGUAGGAUAGGUGGGAGGCUUUGAAGCGUGGACGCCAGUUCGCGUGGAGCCAUCCUUGAAAUACCACCUGGCAUGCUUGAGGUUCUAACUCUGGUCCGUAAUCCGGAUCGAGGACAGUGUAUGGUGGGCAGUUUGACUGGGCGGUCUCCUCCUAAAGAGUAACGGAGGAGUACGAAGGUGCGCUCAGACCGGUCGGAAAUCGGUCGCAGAGUAUAAAGGCAAAAGCGCGCUUGACUGCGAGACAGACACGUCGAGCAGGUACGAAAGUAGGUCUUAGUGAUCCGGUGGUUCUGUAUGGAAGGGCCAUCGCUCAACGGAUAAAAAGGUACUCCGGGAUAACAGGCUGAUACCGCCCAAGAGUUCAUAUCGACGGCGGUGUUUGGCACCUCGAUGUCGGCUCAUCACAUCCUGGGGCUGAAGCCGGUCCCAAGGGUAUGGCUGUUCGCCAUUUAAAGUGGUACGCGAGCUGGGUUUAGAACGUCGUGAGACAGUUCGGUCCCCUAUCUGCCGUGGACGUUUGAGAUUUGAGAGGGCUGCUCCUAGUACGAGAGGACCGGAGUGGACGAACCUCUGGUGUUCCGGUUGUCACGCCAGUGGCAUUGCCGGGUAGCUAUGUUCGGAAAAGAUAACCGCUGAAAGCAUCUAAGCGGGAAACUUGCCGCCUCAAGAUGAUCUCACCGGGAACUUGAUUCCCCUGAAGGGCCGUCGAAGACUACGACGUUGAUAGGCUGGGUGUGUAAGCGUUGUGAGGCGUUGAGCUAACCAGUACUAAUUGCCCGUGAGGC